GGAGAACUGAAACAUCUAAGUACCCCGAGGAAAAGAAAUCAACCGAGAUUCCCUCAGUAGCGGCGAGCGAACGGGGAUUAGCCCUUAAGCAUCUUGGAAGUUAGUGGAACGGUCCUGGAAAGACCGGCGAUACAGGGUGAUAGCCCCGUACACGAAAACAACCUUGAUGUGAAAUCGAGUAGGGCGGGACACGUGACAUCCUGUCUGAAUAUGGGGGGACCAUCCUCCAAGGCUAAAUACUCCUG
This 245-nucleotide ribosomal RNA is filed under the name Aeromonas caviae. Its description in RNAcentral is "partial 23S ribosomal RNA". It matches the Rfam family "Bacterial large subunit ribosomal RNA", at positions 187 to 478 of the family's 2925-position model. The record is from RNAcentral. Lineage: Bacteria; Pseudomonadati; Pseudomonadota; Gammaproteobacteria; Aeromonadales; Aeromonadaceae.